RNAcentral lists this ribosomal RNA (253 nucleotides) under uncultured bacterium. Its description in RNAcentral is "partial 16S ribosomal RNA". It matches the Rfam family "Bacterial small subunit ribosomal RNA", at positions 524 to 776 of the family's 1533-position model. The record is from RNAcentral.
UACGUAGGUGGCAAGCGUUGUCCGGAUUUACUGGGCGUAAAGAGCGCGCAGGCGGUCGUACAAGUCGCGUGUGAAAGCCCCCGGCUCAACUGGGGAGGGUCACGCGAUACUGUUCGACUCGAAGGCAGGAGAGGGAAGCGGAAUUCCCGGUGUAGUGGUGAAAUGCGUAGAUAUCGGGAGGAACACCAGUGGCGAAGGCGGCUUCCUGGCCUGUUCUUGACGCUGAGGCGCGAAAGCUAGGGUAGCAAACAGG